GACGAACGCUGGCGGCGUGCUUAACACAUGCAAGUCGAACGGAAAGGCACUGCGUUUGUGGGGUGCUCGAGUGGCGAACGGGUGAGUAACACGUGAGUAACCUGCUCUUGACUUUCGGAUAACUUCAGGAAACGGGGGCUAAUACCGGAUAGGAGCCCCCGCUGCAUGGUGGGGGUUGGAAAGUUUCGGCGGUUGGGGAUGGACGAGCGGAUUAUCAGCUUGUUGGUGGGGUAGUGGCUUACCAAGGCUUUGAAGGGUAGCCGGCCUGGGAGGGUGACCGGCCACAUUGGGACUGAGAUACGGCCCAGAGUCCUACGGGAGGCAGCAGUGGGGAAUAUUGCACAAUGGGCGGAAGCCUGAUGCAGCAACGCCGCGUUCGGGAUGACGGCCUUCGGGUUGUAAACCGCUUUCGCCUGUUACGAAGCGUUAGUGACGGUAAUGGGUAAAGAAGCACCGGCUAACUACGUG
RNAcentral lists this ribosomal RNA (468 nucleotides) under uncultured bacterium. RNAcentral's name for it is "partial 16S ribosomal RNA". It matches the Rfam family "Bacterial small subunit ribosomal RNA", at positions 28 to 507 of the family's 1533-position model. The record is from RNAcentral.